This is a non-coding RNA of Aegilops tauschii subsp. strangulata, 3527 nucleotides long. Lineage: Eukaryota; Viridiplantae; Streptophyta; Magnoliopsida; Poales; Poaceae. The record is from RefSeq and is a predicted model, not a curated record.
CCUCUCUUCUCCUUCCUCUCUCCCCUCCCCUGCGCCGCACGCCCCACUGCCGCCCGCGCGCACCCUCACCUCCUCCCAGACCGCCGGAGACCCCCACCCUCUCCUCUACCCCACCACCGCCGGUGCCCCCAAGCCUCUACCACCACCGCCGCCGGCGCGCCGGAGACCGCGCGCGCCUUCUCCUUCUUUCCCAAGCGCCCAAAACCCUAGCCCGCGGCGCAACCAUUGCGACCGAGCUCUGGAUCCGCGGGCUGGCGGUGCAGCACCGGAUCGUCCCUCCCCUCCCCUGCGCCGUCCGCCUCCUCCUUCCCUUCCCCUACGCCGCCUCCCUCCGCCCUCACGAUACGAUUCAAAUCCAUCCUUGCGUGGGAAAUCUGAUCCGAUCCGGUCCAGGGCGCUGCCAUCAUGCACCACCACCACCAGCUGGACCAGUGGCUCGCCGGCGGCAUGGGCGGGGUGCUGCGCCCGACCAAGUCCACCCCAUGCUCCCCCAUCAAGCCGGCGGCGGCUUCCAUGCGGCGCGCGCACUCUGACUCCUUCCAUGCAGCAGCGGCGUCCAUGCGGCGGCGGCCGGAUCCAGUCCAGCACGUCCCAUGGCGCCGCAUGACCCACCCUCUCUGGUUCAUCCGCUUCUUCGCAUGGAUCCACAUAACCCACCCUCACCGCACCUCGUGUCCUCUCUCUGACUCUCAGAUCCACCACGCCAAUGUCGCCAUGGGCCUCGACCUCCACGGACGGUGGCCAGAUCAAGCGGAGCUUCCCUUCCUCUGCCCGGCGGGACAAGGACAAGGACAAGCAGCAAGAUCAUCGCAUCAUCAAGCGACUGUUGAUUGGUCACCACCAAGCUCAGGUCCAUGGAGCUCCUGUGUCAAGGGCACAAAGAAGCAGCAGCAGCUCAAAGUCUGUCUGGUGUCCAUGAGUGACUGAUGAAGGGGAUGGUGCUACUGCGGCCAAUACCUCUGAGCCGCUGUAAUCUUAUUUUGAUUGUUGCUUUAAUUUGUGAUGUACUGCUUUUGUACACACUUGAUUGGCAGGGCGGAUUGAUUAAUGUGCCAGGUUUUUUGUCCCAUAGGUUUUCCUGGUGGAUGUCGAAUUCACGAACCUUUUCUGUGUUUCUGGGUAUUGUUGCCGAAUAUGAAUAGUGCUCUGUUGAUUCUGUUAAGAAUUUAAUAAGUGCAUGCUAUACUGUUGCUUACUAGGCCAGAAGUGUUUUUUUAUGAUUGAUCUCUUGUUAAGUCUACCCGUUUUAGUUCUUAUAAAUAAGUUGCUGAUGUCAGUUUUGGUUCUGUAUAACUGGUGACCACUAAUGCUAGAAGUCAUUAGUAGAUCAUGAAUCCUUCAUUUUGUGUUGCGUUCACCAGAAAACUGCUAUUUAUCUGCUAGUUCUGGAUAAUUUGGUGACUACAAACUAAAUCCCCGAGUUAGAUAUAAAUGGAUCACCAAUGUUUUUAAGUAGUAAGAAUGGAACUGAAUCCUUCACAAGCCACAUUUAUCUCGGUUCCAUUGACCUAAAAAAUCUCACACAAAGUAUACUGUUCUUCCUUGCCUAAUGUUCUUGUUGCCGAUAAUAGGGCCUGUAGAUAGCAAGUUAUUUCCUAGUGGUUACUUAUGCUUAUUGUGUAUCACAUUGAAAAAGAAAAUGCACAAUGAGCUUGUUUGAUCUUUUUUAUGCUUAUGUGUACUUGAUCAGGGAAGUCCUAUUUCCUGUGAUCUUUCCUAUCAUUUGCUAGUGUGAUGCUUCAAGAUGACAAAUUUUAAAACCCAAACUAUUGUAAACAAACUUUCUACAUCUUGAGAAUUAAUUUUUCAUGAUAGCCGAAUAGUGUAGUUGAUCAUCACUAUUGCUAAAUGCUAUUGCCUGAUAUAAUAUAAGUAUGAGCACUCAACCAUUGUACAGCUGUUUGCAUAUUUGUUUUGUAUUUUUUAUAAAUGAUGAUAGUUUGUGCAAGAUGUUCACAUGUUAUUUUUUUACUAAAAUAUCUUAUGCCCUUGACUUAGCUUGACCCAGAACAACAGCAUCCUUGAUGCGUACUGACCUUCACCUCAUUCUUUCUCUCACAGACUCGAAGGAGACCGUAUGCAAGGCACCUCCUCUUCGGCUGUGAGAGUGUCCAGGGUCGUGGGUGCGGCUAAUGCCUAUGUCUGUGGCCGCACUUGACACUGCCCUCUCUUUAAGGGCAUGUAUCAUUUUUUCUAAGUCUGCUAUCUUUUCCCAAGUCAUGUACUGCUAUGUAUUGUUUGAUGAUAAUUACCCAAGUUAGUGCAUGAUGUUAAGGAUAACCUGAGAACACUUGCCUAAGUUUAUAAGAUAUGACAUGUGAUAGUCCAAGCCUGCUUUGCUGCUCUUUCAAUGCUUUUCCUGCUGUACUGUGCUUCUCUAGUUGUUUGAAUGCUUUUGCUGCUAGCCUGCUACUAGCUUGAAUAGGUGUGCACUUGUGCUGGUGGUGGUGCUGCUUGUGCUGCUCCUACUGAUUUAAUACUUAUGCUCACGCUGUUGUUGAUUAAAUGCUUAUGUUGCUGCAUGCUUAUGCUACUGAUUCAAUGCUUAGGAAAUUGAUUGAAUUGAACCUAUUGUAAUCCUUCCUGUUGCUGCAUGCUUAUACUCAGUUUAUAUAUGCGGUGUGUGGGGAUUCAAUCUGGAACAGUUGUGUGUGAUUGAUGUCAGCAUGUGGUAUAGCCACAAGGUGAUUUGGUAACUGACUAAAUUUGCUGUGCAGUAUUGAAGUUAUGCUCAUUGCUGUGUACAGUACUAAACUUGUACAAUUCUUGUCCUGUUUCCACACAACAUUAAGAUUAGAGUCGUGCUUUUUGAAUGUUUUGCCAUUUUUAUGGCCCGUGUGCUAGCAAACUGAGCUAAUUAAGGGUGCUUCAUCUUUGUCCUUCAGCUUCUAUUCUUACGACAAUUAAAUAGAGGAUCUAUUUUGCUCCCUGCUCGGAUUCCAAUCGAUGCACUCUGAGUAUCAAUGUGUUGUUUUAAUCCUGAUGAUGACGUGGUAGUAUGAAGUGGACACCAUAUUCCUGUUUAAAUGCGCGCAUAAGGAAUAAUUUGUUUCAUCAUGUCCUGGUUUACCCAUGCCAGAUUUGCUGCUUCCGGAACUCUUGGUCCUUCAUAUCUAAAGUUUACAUGUACUGUAGAAGCUCUACUUUAUGCUAAUACCUGCUUGUGUAACAUUUUGAAUGGUAUACUUCUAAAUGGACAAGUACAUGUGGCGUCCAUCAUCAACGAUGAUCCGGACUAGAUGUUCAACUGCAGAACCAUCCAUCAUAUCAACACACAAAGUCAGAUGUUUUGCAAAAGGAAGGAGCAGUACUUGAAGAAGCAGAUUACAAUGUUUUCUCGUGUACUUUAAGAAGCACUAGAUAGGCUCGUUCUAUUUAUUUUUCAUGUUCUGGAGUAUUCCAGCGCCUGAAUGCUUGACUACAACAUGUUGUAGGUUGCUUGGAUCUGUAUAAAAUACAUAUGUGAUGGAAAUUUGUAGAAUGUGUGUUCUGAGAUAUUUCCAUAAUAUUCAGCUAAUUCGUGGUAA